This 681-nucleotide ribosomal RNA is filed under the name uncultured Latescibacterota bacterium. Its description in RNAcentral is "bacterial SSU rRNA". It matches the Rfam family "Bacterial small subunit ribosomal RNA", at positions 41 to 698 of the family's 1533-position model. Lineage: Bacteria; Pseudomonadati; Candidatus Latescibacterota. The record is from RNAcentral.
GGCGUGCUUAACACAUGCAAGUCGAGCGGUAACGCGGGGGCAACCCUGGCGACGAGCGGCGAACGGGUGCGUAAUGCAUGGGAAUCUGCCCAGUAGUGGGGAAUAACCCGGGGAAACCCGGGCUAAUACCGCAUACGACCUUUGGACCGCAUGAUCCGGAGGUGAAAGGUGGCCUCUCUUUGAAGCUGCCGUUGUAGGAUGGUUCCGCCUCCCAUUAGCUUGUUGGUGGGGUAAUGGCCUACCAAGGCGACGAUGGGUAGCCGGCCUGAGAGGGUGUCCGGCCACACUGGGACUGAGAUACGGCCCAGACUCCUACGGGAGGCAGCAGUCGAGAAGCUUCGGCAAUGGGCGAAAGCCUGACCGAGCGAUGCCGCGUGAGUGAAGAAGGCCCUAUGGGUUGUAAAGCUCUGUCAGAUUGGGAAGAAAAUCCUACGGUUAAUACCCGUGGGACUUGACGGUACCAUCAGAGGAAGCACCGGCUAACUCCGUGCCAGCAGCCGCGGUAAUACGGAGGGUGCAAGCGUUGUUCGGAUUCACUGGGUAUAAAGGGUGCGCAGGCGGCCUGGUAAGUCAGGGGUGAAAUAUGACGGCUUAACCGUCAAACUGCCCCUGAAACUGUCAGGCUUGAGUUCGAGAGAGGUAGGUGGAAUUCCAGGUGUAGCGGUGAAAUGCGUAAAUAUC